AGCAGUCGCCGCGGGAAAACAGAGGGUGCAAGCGUUAAUCGGAAUUACUGGGCGUAAAGCGCGCGUAGGUGGUUUGUUAAGUUGGAUGUGAAAUCCCCGGGCUCAACCUGGGAACUGCAUUCAAAACUGACUGACUAGAGUAUGGUAGAGGGUGGUGGAAUUUCCUGUGUAGCGGUGAAAUGCGUAGAUAUAGGAAGGAACACCAGUGGCGAAGGCGACCACCUGGACUAAUACUGACACUGAGGUGCGAAAGCGUGGGGAGCAAACAGGAUUAGAUACCCGUGUAGUCCCUGUCUCUUAUAC
RNAcentral lists this ribosomal RNA (303 nucleotides) under uncultured bacterium. RNAcentral's name for it is "partial 16S ribosomal RNA". It matches the Rfam family "Bacterial small subunit ribosomal RNA", at positions 507 to 807 of the family's 1533-position model. The record is from RNAcentral.